UGUAAGCGUAUACCAAAGUUGUUGCAGUUAAAACGCUCGUAGUCGGAAUUUGGCAGUUCCGGAUGUGUGCACGUCGUGUGCGCACUUCGCGGGGAUUGCUUUUGUGGUCUUGCGUAGGAUGAGGCACUUUUAUUAGCGAACGUCCUCACGCAACCACUUUUUACUGUGAGAAAAUCAGAGUGCUCAAAGCAGGCAUUUGCCGUGAAUGUAUUAGCAUGGAAUAAUAGAAUAGGACUUGGUUCUAUUUUGUUGGUUUGUUGGGACUGAGUAAUGAUUAAGAGGGACAGUUGGGGGCAUUUGUAUUCCGGCGCUAGAGGUGAAAUUCUUAGAUUGCCGGAAGACAAACUGCUGCGAAAGCGUCUGCCAAGGAUGUUUUCAUUGA
This 382-nucleotide ribosomal RNA is filed under the name uncultured eukaryote. RNAcentral describes it as "partial 18S ribosomal RNA". It matches the Rfam family "Eukaryotic small subunit ribosomal RNA", at positions 592 to 976 of the family's 1831-position model. The record is from RNAcentral.